This 608-nucleotide ribosomal RNA is filed under the name uncultured Inocybe. RNAcentral's name for it is "eukaryotic LSU rRNA". The stretch from base 268 to 421 matches the Rfam family "5.8S ribosomal RNA". The record is from RNAcentral. Lineage: Eukaryota; Fungi; Basidiomycota; Agaricomycetes; Agaricales; Cortinariaceae.
GAACCUGCGGAAGGAUCAUUAUCGAAUAAACUUGAACAGGCUGUUGCUGGUCCCAGGACAAUGUGCACGCUUGUCAUCUUUAUCAUUUCUCCCAACUGUGCACAUAUUGUAGACCCUGGAGGUUUUUGGAUUUGUUCCGAGUGGGGACUGCUGUGCUUCAAAGAAAAAGAAGUCGGCUUUCCCUUGAACUUUUUCCAGGUCUAUGUCAUUUUUCACAACCUCUUGAAUGUGUUUAGAAUGUUGAAAUAAAGAAAAGUUAAUAAAUACAACUUUCAGCAACGGAUCUCUUGGCUCUCGCAUCGAUGAAGAACGCAGCGAAAUGCGAUAAGUAAUGUGAAUUGCAGAAUUCAGUGAAUCAUCGAAUCUUUGAACGCAUCUUGCGCUCCUUGGUAUUCCGAGGAGCAUGCCUGUUUGAGUGUCAUUUAAACUCUCAAACCACAUCAUUCAUUUGACGUGGCUUUGGACGUGGGGGUUGCCGGCUUUCUUCUCAGAGAGGCCUGCUCCCCUGAAAAGCAUUAGUGGUAUCUGGAGUGGAAAACCGCUAGGUGUGAUAAUACUGUCUAUGCCUUUGGUUAUGCCACAAUGUGCUGCUUCCAACCGCACAUUUU